This 42-nucleotide small RNA is filed under the name Arabidopsis thaliana (thale cress). Its description in RNAcentral is "ATSL057050". The record is from RNAcentral. Lineage: Eukaryota; Viridiplantae; Streptophyta; Magnoliopsida; Brassicales; Brassicaceae.
GUUUCUCUGUCUUUUUCUUUUCUUCUUUUUCUCUUUUGCUUU